CUCAUCUUAUUCGGUUGACUUGACUUCUUGUGUUACUCAACGACGCCGCCGUCGAGCAAAAAGAUGUGGGACCACCGGAAGGAAGUGAACGAGAGUUAGACAAAUAGGAAGAGCAGGGGUUUCCCAUACUAAUUAACUUAUUGUUAUCC
Molecule: non-coding RNA, 149 nt
Organism: Caenorhabditis elegans
Lineage: Eukaryota; Metazoa; Nematoda; Chromadorea; Rhabditida; Rhabditidae
Source: Ensembl